UUGUUGUUUUUCUUGUUGAAAUUUUUGUUCUCGUGUAAUUUUUUGCUCCAAACUUGUACAAAUUGUUGUAAAAAACUUGUGAAAAAAGGGACUGGGGCGGUUUGUACUGAAGAUGGUAAACCAUUCAUCGUCUUAUCUGUGUUUCAACAUCAGCCUCGAGGACUUAGAGAAAAUCUUAAUGAAAUUUGUAGGGUUGCAUUAAAGGCGGUGAAUGGUUUAUUGCCUUAGUGAAGGCAGUGAACUAUUCACUGCGUUCAUUUUAUAUAUUACAAAGACAGGUUCACCAUCUUCAGAGGGAAUUUUCGAGCAUGUGCCUACAUGGCGAAAAGACGUUACUUUUGCAAAAAGAAGGAUUAUUUUGGAAGGUUAUUUCGUAAAUUUUAAAAUUAAAGAGGAUUAUUUUGUAAAAAAGUCUCGAAAAAAAUAUUCAUAGUUAUCUAAAUUUUUACCAAUCGGAGAAUAUCUACUAUAGAAUAUUCUUCACGUGCAUCUCAAACUAGAAGUAUCAAAAUUAAUUCACAUUUAAUUCAAAUUUUAAAAUUUAAU
This 546-nucleotide long non-coding RNA is filed under the name Ananas comosus (pineapple). RNAcentral describes it as "long non-coding RNA (ACOM_LNC001977)". Lineage: Eukaryota; Viridiplantae; Streptophyta; Magnoliopsida; Poales; Bromeliaceae. The record is from RNAcentral.